This is a non-coding RNA of Xyrichtys novacula (pearly razorfish), 892 nucleotides long. Lineage: Eukaryota; Metazoa; Chordata; Actinopteri; Labriformes; Labridae. The record is from the annotation of a GenBank genome assembly.
GCCAUAGACUGCAUCGAUCACUCCUCCGACCUUCUCUGCCUGUCUUGCACAGUAAGUUUGACAUAUUUCUUUUAUCUUAACUGUUUUCAGUGAAGCAAACAAGCUUUGUUUUGUACUUAUGCUUGAUGUCCUUAGCCUGGCUGAGUCAUCCUGUUGCAUGAAUCACUUGCCGUUCUUUCCCACAACAGUCUGGACUUCGGCCCAUUGGGAGCGUGUAUUAGCGAUCAGAAAAUAACCUGGCCAAUCAGUGACUGUGUUCAUUCACAACGCCGUUAAUUCUGCAGUUGACUUUGCAAAGUCGGCAGAAAUCAUUUAGAUUCGCAGAAGACGUCAGAUAUAAACGAUUUCUGCCGACUUUGCAAAGUCAACUGCAGAAUUUACAGCGUUCUGAAUGAACGGAGCUUUGAAAAGUCCCACAGCAUGUGUUAGACGUCACCAUCUACACAUGACCAAUUAGGGCAGGGGUGGGGAACACUGUGCCAUGGUUUUCCUUCCAACCCAAAACUCCACCAGGUGAUUUCACUGAUCAGUGAAACGGACAUGUUUGUAGUCUUUGGGAAUAGACACUGAUGUAUCUUUGAACACAUAGUUGUAACAUGUGUGUGCCAGUUGAAAUCCUUAUUGAUCAGCACUCCCAAGUACUUAUAGGAGGAGACUUGUCUGAUGUUAUGGUCACGAACAGUAUUCUUUUUAUCUUGUCUUUAAGCUGCUGCUCGACAGUUUGAUUACAAAAUGAGCCAGAAGCACUCCGAGGAUACGGACAAGUCUUGGCUGCGUUUUGCACCAAACCGACAGGGAGGCAUCCCAAGAAAUGCUUCGGUGCAGCAGGGAGCUGUCCCAAGAAGUCCCGAUGCAUGUGGCAAAUGACAUUUUCUACUAAUUUUCUACAUUU